UCCGGAUUUAUUGGGUUUAAAGGGUCCGUAGGCGGAUUAAUAAGUCAGUGGUGAAAGCCCGCAGCUUAACUGUGGAACUGCCAUUGAUACUGUUAGUCUUGAGUGUAGUUGAAGUGGCUGGAAUGAGUAGUGUAGCGGUGAAAUGCAUAGAUAUUACUCAGAACACCAAUUGCGAAGGCAGGUCACUAAGUUACAACUGACGCUGAUGGGACGAAAGCGUGGGGAGCGAACAGGAUUAGAUACCCUGGUAGUCCACGCCGUAAACGAUGCUAACUCGUUUUUGGGCUUUAGGGUUCAGAGACCAAGCGAAAGUGAUAAGUUAGCCACCUGGGGAGUACGUUCGCAAGAAUGAAACUCAAAGGAAUUGACGGGGGCCCGCACAAGCGGUGGAUUAUGUGGUUUAAUUCGAUGAUACGCGAGGAACCUUACCAAGACUUAAAUGGGAAAUGACAGAUUUAGAAAUAGAUCCUCCUUCGGGCAUUUUUCAAGGUGCUGCAUGGUUGUCGUCAGCUCGUGCCGUGAGGUGUUAGGUUAAGUCCUGCAACGAGCGCAACCCCUGUCACUAGUUGCUACCAUUGAGUUGAGGACUCUAGUGAGACUGCCUACGCAAGUAGAGAGGAAGGUGGGGAUGACGUCAAAUCAUCACGGCCCUUACGUCUUGGGCCACACACGUAAUACAAUGGCAGGUACAGAGGGCAGCUACACAGCGAUGUGAUGCGAAUCUCGAAAGCCUGUCUCAGUUCGGAUUGGAGUCUGCAACUCGACUCUAUGAAGCUGGAAUCGCUAGUAAUCGCGCAUCAGCCAUGGCGCGGUGAAUACGUUCCCGGGCCUUGUACACACCGCCCGUCAAGCCAUGGAAGUUUGGGGUGCCUGAAGUCGGUGACCGUAAAAGGAGCUGCCUAGGGUAAAACAAGUAACUAGGGCU
RNAcentral lists this ribosomal RNA (925 nucleotides) under uncultured Chryseobacterium sp. RNAcentral's name for it is "bacterial SSU rRNA". It matches the Rfam family "Bacterial small subunit ribosomal RNA", at positions 544 to 1482 of the family's 1533-position model. Lineage: Bacteria; Pseudomonadati; Bacteroidota; Flavobacteriia; Flavobacteriales; Weeksellaceae. The record is from RNAcentral.